Molecule: ribosomal RNA, 440 nt
Filed under: uncultured bacterium
Lineage: Bacteria
Description: partial 16S ribosomal RNA
Rfam family: Bacterial small subunit ribosomal RNA
Source: RNAcentral
CCUACGGGCGGCAGCAGUAGGGAAUAUUGCUCAAUGGGGGAAACCCUGAUGCAGCAACGCCGCGUGGAGGAUGAAGGUUUUCGGAUUGUAAACUCCUUUUCUUAGAGGAGAUAAUUACGGUAUCUGACGCAUAAGCGCCGGCUAACUCCGUGCCAGCAGCCGCGGUAAUACGGAGGGUGCAAGCGUUAGCCGUAUUCACUGGGCGUAAAGAGCACGUAGGCGGGUGAGUAAGUCAGAUGUGAAAUCCUAGGGCUCAACCAUAGAACUGCAUUUGAAACUGUUAGUCUAGAGUAAGGGAGAGGUAGGCGGAAUUCUUGGUGUAGCGGUAAAAUGCGUAGAGAUCGAGAGGAAUACUCGUUGCGAAGGCGGCCUGCUAGACAUUAACUGACGCUGAGGCACGAAAGCGUGGGGAGCAAACAGGAUUAGAUACCCCAGUAGUC